Molecule: ribosomal RNA, 768 nt
Filed under: uncultured Eubacteriales bacterium
Lineage: Bacteria; Bacillati; Bacillota; Clostridia; Eubacteriales
Description: bacterial SSU rRNA
Rfam family: Bacterial small subunit ribosomal RNA
Source: RNAcentral
UGCAGUCGAGCGAAGCGAUUUAGCGGAAGUUUUCGGAUGGAAGUUAACUUGACUGAGCGGCGGACGGGUGAGUAACGCGUGGGUAACCUGCCUCAUACAGGGGGAUAACAGUUAGAAAUGACUGCUAAUACCGCAUAAGCGCACAGCAUCGCAUGAUGCAGUGUGAAAAACUCCGGUGGUAUGAGAUGGACCCGCGUCUGAUUAGCUAGUUGGUGAGGUAAAGGCCCACCAAGGCGACGAUCAGUAGCCGACCUGAGAGGGUGAUCGGCCACAUUGGGACUGAGACACGGCCCAAACUCCUACGGGAGGCAGCAGUGGGGAAUAUUGCACAAUGGGGGAAACCCUGAUGCAGCAACGCCGCGUGAGUGAAGAAGUAUUUCGGUAUGUAAAGCUCUAUCAGCAGGGAAGAAAAUGACGGUACCUGACUAAGAAGCCCCGGCUAACUACGUGCCAGCAGCCGCGGUAAUACGUAGGGGGCAAGCGUUAUCCGGAUUUACUGGGUGUAAAGGGAGCGUAGACGGCGAAGCAAGUCUGAAGUGAAAGCCCGGGGCUUAACCCCGGGACUGCUUUGGAAACUGUUUUGCUAGAGUGCUGGAGAGGUAAGUGGAAUUCCUAGUGUAGCGGUGAAAUGCGUAGAUAUUAGGAGGAACACCAGUGGCGAAGGCGGCUUACUGGACAGUAACUGACGUUGAGGCUCGAAAGCGUGGGGAGCAAACAGGAUUAGAUACCCUGGUAGUCCACGCGGUAAACGAUGAAUGCUAGGUGUUG